Molecule: ribosomal RNA, 578 nt
Filed under: Boana cf. fasciata ABGD cluster 39
Lineage: Eukaryota; Metazoa; Chordata; Amphibia; Anura; Hylidae
Description: partial large subunit ribosomal RNA
Rfam family: Bacterial large subunit ribosomal RNA
Source: RNAcentral
CAAAAACAUCGCCUCUUGAUGAAAUAUGAGAGGUCCAGCCUGCCCAGUGACCUAGUUCAACGGCCGCGGUAUCCUAACCGUGCGAAGGUAGCGUAAUCACUUGUUCUUUAAAUGAGGACUAGUAUGAAUGGCAUCACGAGGGUUAAACUGUCUCCUUUUUCUAAUCAGUGAAACUAAUCUCCCCGUGAAGAAGCGGGGAUUAUUUUAUAAGACGAGAAGACCCUAUGGAGCUUAAAACAAAUUUACACCUGCUUUAAUAUAUAACCCUCCCGAGGACUCACACAAAUUAUAGCAUAACUGAUAAUUAGUUUUCGAUUGGGGUGAUCAUGGAGAAAAAACCAACCUCCACGACGAUAAGGGGGAGCACCUCCUGAGCCAAAAGCCACAACUUUCAGCACUAAAAAAUUAACGCACUUUGACCCAAUUACUUGAGCAACGAACCAAGUUACCCUAGGGAUAACAGCGCAAUCCACUUCAAGAGCUCAUAUCGACAAGUGGGCUUACGACCUCGAUGUUGGAUCAGGGUAUCCCAGUGGUGCAGCCGCUACUAAAGGUUCGUUUGUUCAACGAUUAAAACC